AGAGCACAAGGGGAAUGCCUUGGCACCGAGAGCCGAAGAAGGACGUGACUAACUGCGAUAAGCUGCGGGGAGCCGUAAGUAGGCUUUGAUCCGCAGAUUUCCGAAUGGAGCAAUCCGGCAAGAGGAAAGUCUUGUCAUCAUAUACUGAAUACAUAGGUAUAUGAGGGGAACCGCCUGAACUGAAACAUCUAAGUAGGGCGAGGAAGAGAAAUCAACUGAGAUUCCGUAAGUAGUGGCGAGCGAACGCGGAAGAGGCCAAACCGAGAGUAGUAAUACUUUCGGGGUUCGGACAGAAUACGGCAUUGUAAAGGUUUAGUGGAAUGGAAUGGGAAGUCCAACCGAAGAAGGUGAGAGUCCUGUACACGAAAAGCCUGAGCAGCCAUCUGUAUCCAGAGUACCGCCGGACACGUGAAACCCGGUGGGAAUAUGGGGGGACCAUCCUCCAAGCCUAAAUACUACUCGGUGACCGAUAGUGAAGAAGUACUGUGAAGGAAAGGUGAAAAGUACCCCUGACGGGGAGUGAAAAAGAACCUGAAACCUUGUGUUUACAAGCACCGAAAGCUCAUCAAAGAGCGAUCGGGUACCUUUUGUAGAAUGGUCCGGCGAGUGAAUGUAACCGGCGAGGUUAAGCACUUAAGGUGUGAAGCCGCAGCGAGAGCAAGUCUGAAUAGGGCGUAUGAAGUCGGUUGUAUUCGACCCGAAACCGGGUGACCUACCCAUGGUCAGGUUGAAGUAAAGGUAAAACUUUAUGGAGGACCGAACCGACUCCCGUUGAAAUGGUAGCGGAUGAACUGUGGGUAGCGGAGAAAUUCCAAUCGAACCCGGAGAUAGCUGGUUCUCUCCGAAAUAGCUUUAGGGCUAGCCUUGAAAUAGAUUACCGGAGGUAAAGCACUGAAUUGGCUAGGUGGAAUUGCACAGACAACCAGGAUGUUGGCUUAGAAGCAGCCACUCAUUAAAAGAGUGCGUAAUAGCUCACUGGUCGAGUGACUCUGCGCCGAAAAUUUAACGGGGCUAAACUAUACACCGAAGCUUGGGAUACAUCUAAUGUAUGGUAGGAGAGCGUUCUGUAUGGGGAGAAGUCGUAGCGAAAGCGGCGGUGGACUAUACAGAAGUGAGAAUGCCGGAAUAAGUAGCGAGAAUUAAGUGAGAAUCUUAAUGGCCGAAAGUCUAAGGUUUUUGGAGGAAGGUUCGUCCGCUCCAAGUAAGUCGGGAGCUAAGGUCAGGCCGAAAGGCGUAGCCGAUGCACAUACGGUUGAUAUUCCGUAACCAUCUGUAAUUUAAGCAAAGGGACACUUCAAAAGGGUGUGACCCGGGCGUUGGUUGACCCGGGCGUAAGGGACCGAAAUUAGAGUAGGGAAGCACACUUGGCUGAAGGCGAGAAAAGCUUUGCGUAUAGAAACAGAUGCCCGUACCGCAAACCGACACAGGUGGACAGGAAGAGAAUUCUAAGGCCAGCGGGAGAAGGGUAGUUAAGGAACUCGGCAAAUUGACUCCGUAACUUCGGAAUAAGGAGUGCUCGAAAGAGCCGCAGAGAAUAGGCCCAGGCGACUGUUUAGCAAAAACACAGGUCUCUGCCAAAUCGAAAGAUGAAGUAUAGGGGCUGACACCUGCCCGGUGCCGGAAGGUUAAGAGGAGGAGUGAGAGCUCCGAAUUGAAGCCCCGGUAAACGGCGGCCGUAACUAUAACGGUCCUAAGGUAGCGAAAUUCCUUGUCGGGUAAGUUCCGACCCGCACGAAUGGUGUAACGAUCUGGGCACUGUCUCAACUACCCACCCGGCGAAAUUGUAGUACCGGUGAAGAUGCCGGUUACCUGCGGCAAGACGGAAAGACCCCAUGGAGCUUUACUGUAGCCUGAUAUUGGGUUUCGGAAAUCUAUGUACAGGAUAGGCGGGAGACUAGGAAACAUGAGCGUCAGCUUGUGUGGAGUCGAUGUUGGGAUACCGCCCUUAGGUUUCUGGAAUUCUAACCUGCGGCCGUGAAUCCGGUCGGGGGACAUUGUCAGGUGGGCAGUUUGACUGGGGCGGUCGCCUCCGAAAAGGUAACGGAGGCGCUCAAAGGUUAGCUCAGCACGGACGGAAACCGUGCCUCUGAGUGUAAACGCAAAAGCUAGCCUAACUGCGAGGGUGACGGCCCGAGCAGUAACGAAAGUUGGAGUUAGUGAUCCGGCGGUAUGUGAAUGGAAAUGCCGUCGCUCAACGGAUAAAAGCUACCCUGGGGAUAACAGGCUGAU
This 2229-nucleotide ribosomal RNA is filed under the name human gut metagenome. Its description in RNAcentral is "bacterial LSU rRNA". It matches the Rfam family "Bacterial large subunit ribosomal RNA", at positions 14 to 2486 of the family's 2925-position model. The record is from RNAcentral.